GACUAAAAGAGGGUGAGAAAUAGCAGCCCAGGACUGCAUUCACAGUGAGCCAUGCUGGAUAAGACAGGGAUGGAGAAACAGGGCACAGGACUGUCCCCAGGCCUGCCUUCUGGGAUGAGGGGGGCCUCCUCCCACUGUGAGGGGCUCCUUGACUCAGGGACCUCCCACCUGGGGGAGGCUGGGUGCACUCCCCCACUUCAGCCUCCCUGGCAUAGAUGAGGCUCAUUCUCAGCUUCUCCUGGAGGGAAAGAAAAGCUCGUAAAUUGUUACCAGUUUUUCCCUCACUUUUAUGUUUCCUCUUCAUGUUUAACCUUUGAUUAUUUGAUUAAGAUCUCUAAGAGGAGCUUGUUCAGUCUAAGCUCAAUUCGCCUUCAUUAUCAUUCCUCAGAAUCCUUGAACAUAAAGGGAUCUAAACCAAACGUCUGGACAUUGAGCGCAGCCGUGCAAACAGCCUCUGGUAAUUCCAGGCAAGGAGUGAAGAUAUCCAGCAAAUGGCAAGCAGUGGAGGUCGUACCUAUUUUCUUUCUGAGAUGAUCCCCAACAGGGAGUCAGGACUAGUCCUUAAAUUAUGUUUGUUUACAAAAGUUGCUUUACCUUUUUGAGCUUAAAAGUCCAGCUGUGCACAAAAGAGAUCACGGACCAUUGCAAUUAAAAGGGACUUUGGUGUUUACUUAGUUCUCCCCAUUGCAUCUCACAUGGUGGAAAGGGACAGCGGGAGAAGCGUAAUUCGAAAUUUCUAACAGCCUUAACAGCAUUCUGUAGCUAUUUUCCUCUAGAGAACUUAGAAGCAGUUGAAAGUACUUUUAAAUGGCUACUGUGGUCUGAUUUAUUCCUCCAGAAGGAGGACCGCAAAUGUGAGGAUGGGAACAGAAGUGAGGAAAACACACUGAAUCAAUGGACACAAAAGAAGAAUGAUUACGAAAAGCCUGCCUGAGCUUAUUCGGAUUCAUUCCACCCUAAACAAAUCCUCAAAUAGAGAAAGCACCAUCAAAUAUUGAUGAAAUAAGGGAAAAUGCCAAGUUACCCACUUCUUCUUAAAAUGUACUAAUGAACAGAUCCAGUGAUGUUUACACGUCUUAACUGCUAAUUCAAUAAACAUUAAUGAGCAUCAGCUCUGUCCUAAAUCCAUGGCGAUUAGGGUAAAAGUAAGGAUGUACAUAUGCAUGGGGAGAAGAGCAAACAUUUAUGGAGGGCUACAAUGGCACUGGGCUAAGUAUUAGCUCAUUUAACCUUAGUCAUAAGUACAAUUGUUUGCCCAUUUUAUAGGUAAGGAAACUGAAAUUUAGAACAGGGAAGUAACUCGCCCGAGAUUCCAGAGCUGGCAGGUGACUGCGUUGUGUUCCUGACCCAGGUCAGCCCUAGUUCCUAACUGAGGUGCUUUACUGACUCCCAGAAGACAAGCUCCCCUGAACUUGUAGUUGGAUAGGUGGGGCUCACGGGACAGAAUCCAUAGGAUGAGGACCCCAAGUGGGAAAGGAUAUAGUUAAAGGAGAGUCACAGGGAAGGUCAUACUAGGGCAGGAGCUAAAGAACGAGGGAGGAGGCAUCCUUUCAGAGAGAGGUGGGAAAGUGGGCUUUAGGGAUAAACAGAAGCAUCCUACCUGGCACCAUGGGAGAACCAGAUGGUGCUAGGGUCACUCCAGUCACACCCCAGCCGCUCAGCUUUGGGCCUAAAUCAGUUUCAGAAAGAGAGCAGCCUUGGUGCAGUCAGGGGGAAGAGGAAGCUCUGUAGCCCACCUGGAAAUUGCUCAUGGCCAUCACCGCUCAGGCUCUUUGUAGCUUGGUGCCCUUCAGCCUUUUCAGGUGUCUACCCCAGCUAGACACUGCCCUGGGGUAGACUAGCCUGGGGGGUUGUGGAGGGAGAGGUGCAAUUAAACAGAGCUGCCCAGAACCAGGCAUUACUGAAGACAGUGUCAAGUGAGUGUGCCUUCUCCAGGACGGCCCCCUUCCCAUAGCCCAUGGCUUUAUUCAGCCUCCGCUUGUGGAUUAGCAAAGGCUGGGUUCCACAGGUGCUAUUGAUGCCCACCCAAGGCUCUAACAGAGCUAUCUCUCUGUCCAUUUCUUUGUACUGUUUAAGAAAAGUCGUCUUGUUUAAAAGAUAAAUAUAAGAAAGUCAUGGCUAAGUCAUGGACACUAGUUAGCUGAGUCGUCCCAGGGCCCCUGGUAAUAUUAGCUCAAUUCUUAGAGAAAACUUUCUUUUCUCUCUUGAAAACUGGGUUUUCUCUUUUUCUGUUUUCUGCCCUUAAUCAUCUUUAAGCUCCCUCUUCCUUUCGUCCAAUUUUUUUCCAUCAACCUCUGGUGGCCCUCUUGUGGUCACAGGCCACCUCCAUCUGAAUUCCCUUGGAUGGCUGGAUCAAUGCAGAGCCCUGGGCUUGCUGCAGACCCACUGACACAGUCCUGCAGAGCUGGGAGUUGCAUUUUAAAUAACUCUUCCAGGUCACUUUUUGCUCACUACAGGUUGAGAACCACUGUCCUGGGGACAAGGAACCUGGAAACUUUUAAUUCUCUGAUCUCAUCCUCCAUCUCCCAAGGAAACUUCUUUAGUAAAGGGAGAUGCUGAGAAGGCACAGGGACAGUCUAGGGCUUAGCCUUUCCUUGUCAUCUUGUGUUUACUUGUCUGUCUCCUCUGCUAGACUGUGUGUCUCUAGGAUGAGAAUCAUGUUCUCUUCAGUUCUCCAGAGCUGGGUCUUGGGACGAUGGGUGGGUCACCAUGGACACUCUGCAGUAUUAGUGGAAUGAAUAAAUUGUUGAUGUAACAAACCCUCCCUCCCUCUCUUCUACUCUUUCCUCCUCUCCUUUCUCUUGGGCGCCCCAUUGGCCUUGGGCAUAGAACACCAAUGUUUUAAGAGGCAGUUAAUGUUUAAAGGGACAAAAUCAGGCACAGGCCAGGCAGUGGCUGGUUGCUCAACCGACAAACAAAUCCACCUUCUUCUGUUCUUUCCUAAGCCAACAGGAAGCAGCCAGGAGACGGUCACUCACCCAGCUGGGCUCAGAUCCACCAUCCUCUCCACCCACACAGCAAUUGCGCAAUGUUGCUGCAACAACCUGAGGCUAUAAAUAGUCUAUUAAGAAGUUACACAGGAGAUUGAGCAGGCCUGAUGGGUGGCCCCCAUUUGCUCCCCUUCAGACAAGUGGAGAAAAUUUUUGUAAAGUGCCACUUACAAGAAUCCAAGCCUGGGGCAAAAUAUUCUACCUUUCCCUUGGAUUUCCGUCUGCUCCCCCUGGUUCAGACAGCUUUUUAGGGUCUCUGAUGCUUUCUGCUUAUCAUUGGCCCAUGUGGAAUUUUGUCCUGCUGAUGCAAUAAUAAUGAAGGUAAUGAUAGUAAUUUGUUAGUUGGUCUUCCUUCCUCCCCGUACCUGUGUCCCCUUUUUUUUGUCUUAUCUCUGAUCUCUUCUGCCUGGACAGUGUCAUGUUUUCCACACCAAUUCAUGCCUCCCUCUCUUCAGUCUACAAGGUCAAUUCCAUGCAUUUGCUUUUCUCAUGAUUUUUCUUCAGAAUUUUUCGAUGACUUCUCAUUGCAUGAAACAGUGGCCUACAAUGUUUUCAACACAUACUACCCUUAUUCUUAACAUAUAUAUUAAUUUAUGAAUUAAAUACAUGUGCUACUGCCAGUUCAUAUAAAAUAUUAGGAAAGCUUACUUUCACUAAUUUUUUACUAGCAUAAAUAUAAAUAGGAGUGCUAAUAUUUUCUCCCUGUACUCCAAUGGAUCAUUUUGAAUACCUCACAGUGGCCCACUGAGGAUGACUGACAUUGAAUCAUUCUGCUGGGUCACCAAAGCCUUCUAGGACCUGGUUCCAGGUCAUUCAUUCAUUCACUCAGCAUUUCUUAGUAAUUGCUGUAGCCAGGCCUGGGGCAAGGCUCAGGGGGUAAUAAUAAGUAGUCACAGCCCCAGUAGAUCAGGAGCUUACAUGUGAGUGGAGGAGGUAAACACAUAAGUAAAUAACUCUUGGAGAGACACAUGUAUCAUUGCAGAUGUUUGCAUAAGACCUUAAGGAAGAACAAAGAAAAGAAAAAACUUUGCCUGUGAGAGUCAGGAAAGGUUUUGGGAGGACUUGUUGAGCUGGGUCUUGAAGGAUGAGUAGGAGUUCACCAAAUCACAAAAAGGAAAAGGGCCUUCCAGGCACAGAGAAUACAUAGGAAAGGCACAAAAGUGAAAAAGAAUGUAGGGGAGUCAUAAGAUGUUUUGACAAACUAAAUUCUCCUUUAAAUGUGUUUUUACCAGUCUUCCCCAGAGGAAUGGUGGAAUAUGAAGAGAAAGAAUAAAAUCAGCUGUUCAGGUCUAAUGGGAAGAGAAUAUCAAAAUGGUCAAAUCCUCAUUGCUCUUGGGCUUUGAGACUACUCUCAUAGUUCCUUGAUCAAAGAGUUAAAAAACAAAACAAAACAAAGCAAAACAAAGUGGUCAGCUUUGCUCCACUUCCAAGUAAUGCUGCCAAAGCUGGAUAUGCCAUCAAGCAAUUUGACCUCAAAAACGGCACCUGAACCACAGCCAUAGGUUGAGCAAAGCCCACGUAUCACCAUCAUAUUUUCUUAGGGCAGGUCUGCACACCGUCCCUCCCCGAACAUGCACCCUUAGAUAUCUGCCCCUUCUCAGGGUGCUUGAAGCUGAUGGCCUGGGAUACUAAGAAGGAGCUACAGCAAGGGCCACAGCCCCCAGACAGCAGGAUGUACCUCUCCCCAAAGUCUAAAGGCAAGUUCAAGAAUGUCCAGUGUUAGGACUCACCCUCCAUAUCUGGGAUCAGUGAUUAUUGGGAAGGCUUCCUAAUGACAUGCAGGCAUGUUCCUUGUAGACUCUCAGGAGUCAAUCAACCCAAACUUUACUACAAGCCAAAGUUUUGAAAUACAACACAGUGACAGAUGGAUGUAGUAUAAAAGAAACUGAAAAUGGAGAGUAAGAACUUUUCAUUUCUUUGUCUCCAUAGUUUUCUGGAUGGGAGACACUUGCCAUCUACCUUUCAUCUUUAUUAUGCUUUUGUUAAGAAAUUGAUAUUUGGGAGUUCCUGUCAUGGCACAGUGGGAAAGGAAUCCAACUAGGAACCAUGAGGUUGCGGGUUCGAUCCCUGGCCUUGCUCAGUGGGUUAAGGAUCUGACGUUGCCGUGAGCUGUGGUAUAGGUCGCAGAUGUGGCUCAGAUCUGGCAUUGCUGUGGCUGUUGUGUAGGCUAGCAGCUACAGCUCUGAUUAGACCCCUAGCCUGGGAACCUCCAUAUGCUGC
This 5210-nucleotide long non-coding RNA is filed under the name Sus scrofa (pig). RNAcentral describes it as "lncRNA (ENSSSCG00000055706.1)". The record is from RNAcentral. Lineage: Eukaryota; Metazoa; Chordata; Mammalia; Artiodactyla; Suidae.